CUUCGGAUUCCUCAGUAAACCGGCGCACGGGUGAGUAACACGUAGGUAACCUACCCCGGAGACUGGGAUAACCCAUCGAAAGAUGGGCUAAUACCGGAUAUGACCACGGGGGCUACGGCCCCUGGGGUAAAAGAUGGCCUCUUCCUGAAAGCUAUCACUCCGGGAUGGGCCUGCGCGUCAUUAGCUUGUUGGUGGGGUAAUGGCCUACCAAGGCAACGAUGACUAGCUGGUCUGAGAGGAUGAUCAGCCACACUGGGACUGAGACACGGCCCAGACUCCUACGGGAGGCAGCAGUGGGGAAUAUUGCGCAAUGGGGGAAACCCUGACACAGCGACGCCGCGUGAGUGAUGAAGGCCUUCGGGUCGUAAAGCUCUGUCGGAGGGGAAGAACGUCCGUUGGGCGAAUAGUCCGACGGUCUGACGGUACCCUCAAAGGAAGCACCGGCUAACUCCGUGCCAGCAGCCGCGGUAAUACGGAGGGUGCAAGCGUUGCUCGGAAUCA
RNAcentral lists this ribosomal RNA (501 nucleotides) under uncultured bacterium. Its description in RNAcentral is "bacterial SSU rRNA". It matches the Rfam family "Bacterial small subunit ribosomal RNA", at positions 78 to 553 of the family's 1533-position model. The record is from RNAcentral.